Molecule: ribosomal RNA, 312 nt
Filed under: Triticum aestivum (bread wheat)
Lineage: Eukaryota; Viridiplantae; Streptophyta; Magnoliopsida; Poales; Poaceae
Description: partial small subunit ribosomal RNA
Source: RNAcentral
AUGGUGCAGCGUUUUCUGCAGAGCACGUCCAAGAUGGCGAGCAGGACGAGGUACUACAUGGGGAGGAUCAAGUCUUUCGUUGUCCCCCUCGCCAACUACUCCCUCAACAGCAUCGCCUCUCCAGGUACACGUAUACCAAGCAGAGUGAACGUUCCGAAGACCAAGAAGACCUACUGCAAGAACAAGGAGUGCAAGAAGCACACCCUCCACAAGGCACUGCUUCAUUGCUGUUGCGUUGAAUCUCAUGCCACCGUUGAUUAUGAUCAUAAGCAUGGUGGUUUGAUGAUGCUGAGGCCAGCUGUUAAACCAUGA